RNAcentral lists this ribosomal RNA (253 nucleotides) under uncultured bacterium. RNAcentral describes it as "partial 16S ribosomal RNA". It matches the Rfam family "Bacterial small subunit ribosomal RNA", at positions 524 to 776 of the family's 1533-position model. The record is from RNAcentral.
UACGAAGGGGGCUAGCGUUGUUCGGAUUUACUGGGCGUAAAGCGCGUGUAGGCGGACUUGUAAGUUGGGGGUGAAAUCCCGAGGCUCAACCUCGGAACUGCCUCCAAAACUGCAAGUCUGGAGCAAGAUAGAGGCAAGUGGAAUUGCGAGUGUAGAGGUGAAAUUCGUAGAUAUUCGCAGGAACACCAGUGGCGAAGGCGACUUGCUGGAUCUUUGCUGACGCUGAGGCACGAAAGCGUGGGGAGCAAACAGG